Molecule: ribosomal RNA, 501 nt
Filed under: uncultured bacterium
Lineage: Bacteria
Description: partial 16S ribosomal RNA
Rfam family: Bacterial small subunit ribosomal RNA
Source: RNAcentral
ACUGAACGCUGGCGGCAUGCCUUACACAUGCAAGUCGAACGGCAGCACGGGUGCUUGCACCUGGUGGCGAGUGGCGAACGGGUGAGUAAUACAUCGGAACGUACCUUAUCGUGGGUGAUAACGCAGCGAAAGUUGCGCUAAUACCGCGUACGCCCUGAGGGGGAAAGCGGGGGACCGUAAGGCCUCGCGCGAUUAGAGCGGCCGAUGUCUGAUUAGCUUGUUGGUGAGGUAAAAGCUCACCAAGGCGAUGAUCAGUAGCUGGUCUGAGAGGACGAUCAGCCACACUGAGACUGAGACACGGCCCAGACUCCUACGGGAGGCAGCAGUGGGGAAUUUUGGACAAUGGGGGCAACCCUGAUCCAGCAAUGCCGCGUGAGUGAAGAAGGCCUCCGGGUUGUAAAGCUCUUUUGUCAGGGAAGAAACACCGGCUCUAACACAGUCCGGGAAUGACGGUACCUGAAGAAUAAGCACCGGCUAACUACGUGCCAGCCGCCGCGGUAA